GGUCGUUUCUCUUCGGGCCCAACACGAGCCCAAAAGCUUCCCAUCUUCUCCCAGAAGAUUAGCGGCGGGGGAGGCGGCGGCGACCGGCGGCGACAGGGUGGCCGGAUUUGCGGUCCCGUCUCCCUCUCCUGGGCUUCCGCCACCACCCGCGGGCGCUUCUCCUCCACCGGGAAGCCUGCCGUCGCGCGACGGCGACUCCCUUCGACUGUUCGACGCAAUGCCAGGGCAGGCCUGGUGGAGCGGAGGCGGAGCCGCUUCUUCGCUGCUUGAGGCGAGGCGUUCAGGGUGUUCGGCGAAAUGCUCGAGAGUCGCUUGUCCAGUCCUGGUCGGUGGCGACUUCGGCCGUCGAAGAUCUCGUGGGCGGCGACUGUGCUUCCGCUUCGUGAGCUUCUGAAGGACGCAUACCUUUUGGUAAGGAGCAAAAGACUCGUCUCUGUGAAAAGAAACACAGCUUCUGAAGAUUUGCAAGAUCCACUUUGCAGAUACUACAUGCAAAGCAUCAUUCCGAGAGGUGCAUAUAAUUUAGAGCAAUCAUCGGCAUCGUGGUCAUGGUGUGUACAUGCUCUGGAAAACAACAUAGCACGACUGGUGGGUGAUUGGUUGUUUUCCAUUCUCCCGGCUCCACUGGUGUAUCUUUGUAGACCAUGGAUUAUGACUCUUGUGUCUAUCUCUGAAUUUUGGAAGUGCUUGAAGACUUGAAGUAAGCUGCGUAGCGUGUGAGGGCUGCAGGCUGCCAGUGGGAGCUGGCUUAUCAUUUGGGACACCACAGGGGAGACUGGUUCUUGUGUAGACAUGGUCUAUGGACUAUGGAACGGACUGAAGCCACACAGAUCUUCAGGUGCAGCACAAACUGGAGAAAUCCUUCGGCCAGAACAGAAACAGCAUAGGGAACACAAGAUGAUUACAGAAGAUCGGCUGCACAAAGACCAAUUCUAGAAACAGCAUAGAGGCCAUUUCCAGUUCAGACGACUGUAGUGCUGUACUGCUGUGCUGCACGUCGUACACGUCGAAGUCUGAAGAGGAUUGCUGCACUGCAGAUCAAUCAAUGAUUUUCCAAUUUUCGUCAAAACAAGAAACCAAUGAUUUUCCAGGCUCAUGGACACGGUCUACCCAGGCACCCAUCCGUAGACGUGCAAAAUUAUGAAAAACUGAUGGCGAUCUGGCGAUGAAUGAAUGAAUGAUUCGGACCGCCGCUACGUUGUUGCUGCCGACGCGUUCGUUGGCCGUGUGUCCGUGUCUCGGUCUGCAGUCUUCAGUGUCUCAGUCCGAUCGGAAUGAAAUGGAAUGGAGGAGAUGGCGGUGUGAACUGUCCUUGGUAGUGGAGUUGUGGAUUGGCUCGUAUACGACAAAUGUAUUUGGAUAUUUGGCACUUGUUAUCGCUGGAAAAAAUAUAGUCAAGUCGUGUACGAGGAAAACUGCAUGCUACUACCAUACAUACGAAGGAUAUCAAGUUCUUGACAUUUUGAUAUGGAGCAUAGCAAAACUGUUCUAGUUCUCGUUUGAAAUGCGAGAAUGUGUUCACAAAAGGCUGAUUCAUUUUAUUUAAAAUUCACGCAAUAUUCCUCUGUUCGAAGGAAAGGUCUUGUUGUGUUUUUCUUUUUCUUUUUUUUUCUUUUCUAGUGCAGGCUGAUCUGCUGUGCUGAGUGCAGACCGUGGCAGAAGUGAUUUACUUUUCCUUGUAUAAGGGGGUGUUUAAAUCCGGGGUGUAAAGUUUUAGCGUGUCACAUCGAAUAUUAUAUAAGGUAUCGCAUGUGGCAGAGUUUACAUUACCGGUUGACCACUAAAUUUCGAACCCCAUCGGUAUCACCGUUUUCGAUAAAUUUUGAUCGGUUUUUGAU
Molecule: non-coding RNA, 1838 nt
Filed under: Oryza sativa Indica Group (long-grained rice)
Lineage: Eukaryota; Viridiplantae; Streptophyta; Magnoliopsida; Poales; Poaceae
Source: RNAcentral